ACGAAGGGGGCUAGCGUUGCUCGGAAUCACUGGGCGUAAAGCGCACGUAGGCGGAUCGCUAAGUCAGGGGUGAAAUCCUGGAGCUCAACUCCAGAACUGCCUUUGAUACUGGCAAUCUCGAGUCCGGGAGAGGUGAGUGGAACUGCGAGUGUAGAGGUGAAAUUCGUAGAUAUUCGCAAGAACACCAGUGGCGAAGGCGGCUCACUGGCCCGGUACUGACGCUGAGGUGCGAAAGCGUGGGGAGCAAACAGG
This 252-nucleotide ribosomal RNA is filed under the name uncultured bacterium. RNAcentral describes it as "partial 16S ribosomal RNA". It matches the Rfam family "Bacterial small subunit ribosomal RNA", at positions 525 to 776 of the family's 1533-position model. The record is from RNAcentral.